RNAcentral lists this ribosomal RNA (424 nucleotides) under uncultured bacterium. RNAcentral describes it as "bacterial SSU rRNA". It matches the Rfam family "Bacterial small subunit ribosomal RNA", at positions 355 to 776 of the family's 1533-position model. The record is from RNAcentral.
UGAGGAAUAUUGGUCAAUGGACGAGAGUCUGAACCAGCCAAGUAGCGUGAAGGAUGACUGCCCUAUGGGUUGUAAACUUCUUUUAUAUGGGAAUAAAAUGUUCCACGUGUGGGAUUUUGUAUGUACCAUAUGAAUAAGGAUCGGCUAACUCCGUGCCAGCAGCCGCGGUAAUACGGAGGAUCCGAGCGUUAUCCGGAUUUAUUGGGUUUAAAGGGAGCGUAGGUGGAUUGUUAAGUCAGUUGUGAAAGUUUGCGGCUCAACCGUAAAAUUGCAGUUGAAACUGGCAGUCUUGAGUACAGUAGAGGUGGGCGGAGUUCGUGGUGUAGCGGUGAAAUGCUUAGAUAUCACGAAGAACUCCGAUUGCGAAGGCAGCUCACUGGACUGCAACUGACACUGAGGCUCGAAAGUGUGGGUAUCAAACAGG